UUUAACAAGGAAGAUGAUAUUGGAACCUACACUAUCAAAGCGGUUGAUGAUCCGAGAACCUUGAACAAAAACUUUUACAUUCAGCCUCCCGGUAAUAUUUACUCAUUCAAUGAUCUUGUGUCUCUGUGGGAGAGAAAGAUUGGUAAAACCCUCGAAAAGGAGUAUGUUUCAGAGGAGCAGCUCCUAAAGAAUAUUCAAGGUUGGUUAAAACUCUCUUUUUUAAAUGUAUUAAAGAGAGCCGUAUAUUCUCUGCCGUAAAUGUUAUUGAUCCUGUCUUCUCCAAAAUGUUGCAGAAGCUGCAUCUCCACACAAUUUUAUAUUAUCAAUUUAUCACUCUGCUUUCGUGAAGGGAGUUCAAACUAACUUCAAGAUUGAACCAUCUUUUGGAGUUGAAGCCUCGCAGCUUUAUCCUGAUGUCAAGUACACUACAGUUGAUGAGUACCUCAAUCAGUUUGUGUAACCCUUCUCUGUUUCCAGCUGCAGCUUGCAGGAUCUUGGACUGUUGGUAAAUAAAUAAUUGGCUUGUUGCCAUCUUUGGUUUUAUAUGUAAAAAUUAUGGUUGUUGGCCUUACUUUCUUCUGGUUGUCCAUGGAAUUUGUUAGACCAUAUUAUGUUUGCUAUGUCAGUGAUCAAAUGAAGUAGGCCAUGUACUUGAUUUGAGAGUAGUAGUUAUAAAGCCAUCAUGAUCAGGUGGGUGCGUAGGUUGGGCUUCUAUUAGGGUGCGUGUGUUGGGCUUCAGGGGCUUGUGAUAUGGGUUCGACAGCCCCUAACGGGCAGUCAUUAUAAAAAUAAUUAUAGAGUUACAAAUCUAUGUAAAAAGCAAAAAUUAAAAGUAAUUUAUCAAUAAAAAUAAUUAAAAUUAAUAAAAAGUAGGUAUGAUAAUUCAGAAAUUAAAUUAAAGAUAGAAUUCUAAAGAGUUGGAUAAUCCUCCAACUAAACUAAAGAUCUAGUACUUUUGAGAGCAAAUUUAAUUAAAGAAAAGGAUAAGGAAAAACAAUAGAAUAAUAAUAUUAAAAAAUUGCAAAUCUUGGUCUUUUUUUUUUACGAUGAUGUUGAAUUCUUAUAAAUUUAAUCUUAUCUAUAGAAUUAUUUAGUUACUGUAUGUCAAAAUUUCCUAUAAAGAUGAAGAAAAAUUAUAUUAGGAGAAGAUCCAAAUCCGUUUAACUGAUGCAUCAUCGACAACAUGAGUACAACAUUUUCGAAUAAACAAAAGAAACUCGUUUUAUGUGUGAACCAGUUCCAAAAUAAAGAGCAGACUAUUGGAAGGAGACAAAUACUACAAGAAGAACAAAACAUUCUACAAUUCCUACAUGAGCCCGCAACAAUUAAUUAUUAACUCGACAUUCAUUACACUUUUUCUUUAAUUUGACAAAGAAACCAAAAAUAAGAUAAAAUUGACUAAGAAAUAAAAAAAUGACAAAAAUCUUUUUGAAGUUUUGCCAGUUCAGCCAUGCACGCUUAUCUUUAUUCACUUGUUUCCUUUCUUUCCUUUCUUUCCUUUCUUUCCUUUCUUUGCUGAAGCCUUCACAGAUCCUUUACCUUUCUGAGCCUUGCCAAUUUUCCCCUUCUUCAAACCACCUGGCCUUGCUGGAUCCACGUGUCCUUGCAUCCUUUUUCAUUCGUGGAUCAACAAGAAUCUCCCCCUUUCCAGCUCUCUCUUGAACUCCUUGCUUUGCGACCAUGUAUUCUUUGGUAGGCCUUUUGGGUAUAGUUGUCUUGUAUAAUUGUUCAAUUUGAUUCCUCUUCGAACGAUCAGAGAUGUCCGCUUAGUCUGAUAUGACAUUUGCCUUCUUGCGAACCUUCUCAAGAUUUCGCAUGGCAACCCGUAUCUUUCGAGCUUUGGUCUUAGCCACCUUCUUGGCAGUAUGGGUGGGCGAUUCGAUUUUGGGAUAAACUUUUGGUUUCGUAUCGGUUUAGAUUAAAAAAUAAUAUAAAAAAAUAUUUAGAUUUUAAGGGAAAAAAUCCGAACCGAGACUCACCUAUCGAUUUUGGCUCGGUUUCAGUUCAGUUUUGAUUCUCCUAAUAGUUUUAUUUUGCCUUAUUGACUUCCGGUCAAUGACACUUUUGAAAAAUUUACAAAAAAAAAAAAAAUGGCCAUAACAAAAUUUCUAAAUGCAAAUAUUUCCUAAACAUUAGGCUAUACUAAAUUUUUUUAAAAGGUAGGGAUCCAAACGAUAUUAUCCCUCUACUUCAUCUUCAACCUUCGUCACUAGGGAUGGCAAAAUUCAGGUUCGGGUUCGGGUCCGGGUUUAGCCAUUCGGGAUCCGGACCCGGAUGAAUAUUUUCUGUAUCGGACCCGAAAAUAAACCCGCAUUUUUCCACUCCGAGUCUGGUACGGGUUCAACCCGAAAAAAUUCGGGUUCCCAGACUGCGGGUUUCCAACCCGAAUUGAUGAAUCCAAUUGAAAAAAAAAAACUAAAUUCAACUAAAAAAAUCAAAUAGAAAUACAUAUCCAGGAUUUUAGCAAAUCAAAGAAAAAUUAUUUCAUCUGGAAACUAAUUAACAAAAACAACAAUUUUGUUUGGCUGCCCAGAAUCAGCAACCCAAUGUGGCGGCUCGUUCAAAACAUUAGUGUUUUCAACAGAUUUUGGGGUAGGAAAAGCCAAACCUAUCUAGAACAAUGAAUUUGUAUUUUUGGGGGAGAUGAGAUACCUCACUGGUUUGUUGUGUGCGGUGCAGUGUAUCUGAAAUUUGGGGGAUGUGAGAAGGGGAGAGGGAGUGGUAACAAUGGUGAAAGGUCAAAACCAAUAGAGAUGUCCUUCAAAAUGAGCUUCACACCUGUAAAACAGUGAAAUAAAGGUUAGAGGUGAAGCCGGGAUACCCCGGUGUUCACACUCCGAUGCUCAAGUUAGCAAACUCAAGCUUUUAUGACAAAGAGAACUGGCUAGCCCUCUGUAAAUUAGGGUUUAAGGUUCAAGGAAACCUAUUUUUUGGAAUGUGAGUGUUAAUGGUGAGUGAGAGACCUCUUCGAGAAUGAAACAUAGGCGCCUUUAUAUAUGGAGUACCUCAGCUGCCACAUGACGUACCCUUUUUUGGCUAACGUCAUUUUUCCUUUUUAUGAUUUUUGGGUCGUUAUGUGCAUGUUCGCGGGGUAUCUCAUCUUUUGGAAACGUGGCGCGCGCUGGAGAGUGGUCCAGGGUACCUCUGCAGUAGCUGUCGGGUAGGCAGCUGAAGACCACUGUCCUUGGGACAAUGUCCUUCACUUUUGGUAAAGGUGACAGGCGGUUGUCCCCCUUUUUAACACGACAUUUUUUAUUCCUAAUUAUGACAAAAUCGAAUAAUAUCUUUUAAGAGAUGGAGACGUUUCUCAUGGUGGAUAUUUUCAGAGGAUUCUCUUGCAUCUGAUCAGCCGGGUUCCUCCAGUUAUGCAGGGUACCUCUAAUUUUACGGGGUACCUCUAUUUGCGCAGGGUACCUUGAAUCAUGCUAGGUACCUUAGAUUAUGCGGGGUACCUCAUAUUGUGUGGGGUACCUCUAAUUGUGCGGGAUACCUCUAUUUGCGCUAGGUACCUUGAAUCAUGCUGGGUACCUCAGAUUGUGCGGGGUACCUCUAUUUGUGCAGGGUACCUUGAAUCAUGCUGGGCACCUCAGAUUGUGCGGGGUACCUUUAGUCAUGCGAGGUACUUUUAAUCAGGCCAGGUACCCUCUAAUUGUGCUGAGUACCUCUAAUCAUGCAGGGUACCUCUAAUCAUGCGGGGUACCUCUAAUCAGGCCGGGUACCUCAGAUUGUGCGGGGUACCUCUAUUUGCGCAGGGUACCUUGAAUCAUGCCGGGUAUCUCAGAUUGUGCGGGGUACCUCAAAUUGUGUGGGGUACCUCUAAUCGUGCGGGGUACCUCUAAUCAUGUCGGGUACCUCGGAUUGCACUGAAAUUAUUCCAUUCGUUGACACGUGGCGUUAUGCUAUCUUUCUUAUUUUUCCCCCAAACAACAUCCCUCUAGUUUCUUUUGGCAAGAAGUUUUGGAGGCAAAAGAAACUUACAUAAAAAGUAGGAGCGACACGUGGCGAUAUGAUGUUUAGCUCGAUGGAUAACUAAAUAGAGGGCGCCUCUAGGGGUACCCUGAGAACCCAAAAAGGGAAGAUGGGCUCCAUUUCCUCGGAAAUGGCUACCACUUUGGACAUGUUGGAAAUGAUAGAGCUAAUUGAUCAAAAAAAUUUCAUCUAUUUCUGGGGAAGAACACCAAAUACGGGUAGAGGGUAUCGUUAGGGUACCCCACCAUUAUCCAUAGUUUGUUUUCUAGUGACUGCCAUGUAUAAAUCGCUCUGGUGAAGGCUUCAAUACAUUCUUUGGGCAUUUAAGAAGCAAUUAUUUGAUUAUCUCGGGAUCCACCUUAUUUAAGGGUAUAUUUCCUUCAUGUGCUUCGAAGAAAAAAAUAAAAUCACAGGGCCUUCUUCCUUGUAACUUCAGAGGUACCAUCGACAGAAGAACAUAGUCGACAAUGCUUUUAAGCGUAUCAUGAUCGAGGAAUGGAGUGCUGAUCUGGGGUUGGUGGUGCCAAGAGUGGAGAAGAUGGUAGAUGAACCGGCUAUCUUGAAGGCGAUUAAUGAUAGCGGGGCUCCCAACACAUCUUGGUCUGAAAGCCCAUUGAGAUCAGCUGAGGUACCUCAGAUGAGGUAUCUAUAAGGUACCCCUGAUACUAACCCUUGUGUUUUUGCUACUUUUAGCACUUUAUUGAUCCCUUCAUCCUAAGGGAUGAAGUUGAAGAUAAAUAUCCUGUUGUAUAACCUUGUUCGACAUUACUGACAAGAUGUAUGGGGUACCUUGUUAGCCUAUAUGGCUAUAAAUAUUGAUUUUGAUGAUAACAAACCACAUGUAUUUAUUGAGUAAAGAUUUAUGAAUUGUGCUUUUAUAAUGAGAAAAUGAUGUUAUGGAAUUAAAUCUUUUUGAACUAAAAUGAAAGUAAUUUUAAAAUCUUUGAUAGUAUUUUAAAUUUCGGAUUUGUACAUAUUUGAAACUAUUUAAAUGUUUUUAGGUCAUUUUGUAAUUUCACAAAGUUUGGGCGAAGUCAUAAUUUCAUAAAGUUGUGGGAUUGAGAAAGCAUUAUCUAAAAUUAUGAAAUUGGACAUAUUUGCAAACGUUUAUAACGUUUUGGGCCAUACCACAGUUUUAUAAAGUUUUAGGGUCAAAUUGAAAAUAUUAGAAAAUUUUCACUGUAGCAGGUUACUGUAGCAAGCAGCUUACCGGAUUCAGAAAAUCAGAAAUCCGGAUUCGAGGCAGUAAGCAUCCAGAACCAAAACGGCUUACCGGAUUCCUGAAUCCGGCAAACCGGUUAGGCAAAAUUUUGAAUUUUGCCUUAACGGUAACAUAAAUCCGGCUUACCGAAUUCUAUAAAAUGGCAAACUGGAUAGCCUAGAAUGUGAGUAACGGCUAGUUUUCGAGCUCAAGCUAUAAGAACUCAAAUCCAACUCAUUUUGAAGCUCUCCAACAAGCAAGAACAAAAAGCACACGUGAUAUCUUGAGCCUUCAACUUGUAAAACACAAUUCAUUGAAUCAUUCAUUGUUCUUCAUCUUUGAAUAUCUACUCAUUGAGUGAGUUUCAUUGUAUCUUUCAUUUCUUCAAUUCAUUUGUAAGAGUUUGAGUGUGUGAGACACUUGAGUGAAGAGAUUGGGAGAUAAUCUCUUUGUUGUAAAGGUUUAUUGACACCUCGAAGUCAAUUGUAAUCGUUGAAGCCUUGGAAAGGCUUGGAUAGUGAAAUCCUCGAGCUUGGAUCGCUUGGAGGCGUGGACGUAGGCGGGGAUUACCGAACCACGUAAAAAUUCGUGUGUUUGUUUCUCUUCUCCCUUACUCUUUAAUUAUUGUACCAUUAUUGAACUUAUUACUUUCAAUUAUUGUUAAGACAUUAGAUUGCUUGUUGUGUGGAUUUGUUAGGAUAAUUUUUAAAAAUCCAAUUCACCCCCCUCUUGGGUUGCACACUUGUAUUUCAUACCUCAUGUACCCUAAUGCUUGGAUAUCCCUUGAGCUAUCUGUUACUUCAUGGCGGAAUAACCCAAUUGCAUCAAACAUAUGGCGAUUCUUCCAGAUAUGCUUGUCGCUUAUCUUAAGCUUUCUUAGGGUUCCUCCUGGUGUAUCUGAGGAAUAGCUUUCUGGCGUGGGGUACCCUUAAUCAGCGUAUGGUGAUUUUCAUAGAAAUGCUUGCCGCAAAUCUUCACAAAACUUGUUGCGGUUGCUUUUGAGAGAUUGUGCGGGGUACCUUGAAUCAUGCCGGGUAUCUCAGAUUGUGCGGGGUACCUCAAAUUGUAUGGGGUACCUCUAAUCGUGCGGGGUACCUCUAAUCAUGUCGGGUACCUCGGAUUGCAGUGAAGUUAUUCCAUUCGUUGACACGUGGCGUUCUGCUAUCUUUCCUAUUUUCCCCCAAACAAUUAGUAAAGAGAGCUAAAGAACUAGCUUUAGUUACGAGCAGAAAAUCAGAAGUCAAGGAGCAGCCAAAGCACUUUUAAUGGUGAUGGUAAAACUAGAGAGGUAAUGCAAAUAAGUUUACGUUGAUUGGAUAUUCAGAAGAAGUAAUACGCCAUUAAAAGCAACAAGUUUUCCAAAAAGCCAACAAAGACAGAGACCACCACACCACCCCGCACUGGAUGAAAAACGAUGAAAGCAUGAUAAGUGGCAUCGAGUAAGCCACGUUCUCUCUCUCUCUCUCUCUCACUCGCACUCGCACUCGCACUCGCACACACUGUUACUAAAAUGACCAAAAAUAAGAUUCCCAUCAAAAUAUUUUCGAGUAUCGUUCUUGAAAGUGGCGGCGGCUGAUGAUGAUGAACACAGCCGCGAUUGCGAUUGGCGAAGGCGGCGUUCUGCCCGUAUCACAGCUAGUUAUCGGUCGCGGCAGAAAAGAUAAUGAAACGACGGCUGAUGAUGAUGAUGAUGAUGUUGAACAGCCGCGAAUAUGGGUAAGUGAUGCGACGAUGAUUUGAUUUGAUGAAGAUGAGCUGAACAUGGAAUAAGAGAGGAAAUGUUUGUGCGGCUGGGAAAGUGUAAUGAACUGCUAGGGCACCAUUUGGGUUUUUUUGCUUUCCUAUUUAUAUUAAAAAUAAUUUUUAAAAAUUAAUAUAUAUCCGGGUUCGGGUUUUGGAUGUACGGGUUUACCUAGACCCGGACACAUGCGGAUUCAGCAGCACCGACCACCCACAGACUUGGAUUUGAUUACAAAGUUGGGACUUAGGAUUUGGGUUUGUGGCUGCCGAAACAGAAAGUGAGAGAGUAGAAAGUAGAGACUGAGAGUGGUGCAAACAUGUGUAAUUUUGUGUGUGUGUCUAUAUAUAUAUAAUGUGAAAUUACAAAAAUGCCAUUAUAUCAGUUCAAUUCGAAUUUUGUAACUUGUGAUCCGAAAACUGAACCAAACCGAACCAUUUGGUUUGGUAUUUAUAUAUUCAGGUUUUUAAUUUAAAAAAACUAAAUUGAAAUUGAAAGAACUAAACCGAACCGAAUUUUUUUUUUUUUUGUUUCGAUUCAAUUAUGCCCAUCCCUACUUAGUAGGCUGGGUAUCAAUUUCUUUGAAUUGUGCUUUCAUUGCAGUAAUCUCCUCCUUGGUAAUAGGUUUAAUUGCUUGCUGAUGCCACCUUUCCUCUAGUAACAACUAGUCUAACAAGCCAUCAUCGUCAAACAUGUACCUAUUAUAAGCAUCAUCCAGAAUUUGCUCUCUUUGCUUUUUGCUUAGUGUCUUCUUUGCACAAGCUAUUAUCUUAGCUUUUGUAUCAAUAUCUUUAUCUUUUGAUUCACCAGAGGAUGAAUCAUCACCGGAAUAGAGUGGUGAAGGCCCCAUAGAUUAGUGUGAUCAAGUUCUAGUGUAGUUUUGGUUUUGAUUUCAGUAUUAGGAAAAUGAAGCCUAUGAAAUUUACCAAGCUAACAUGCUUCACAAAAGUGCUUUAAUACUUGACUAUGAAUACUUGAAGAGGAUAAAUGAGGAUAAAUAAAUUUAAAUAUACAUUAGAUUUUGAGGGUUGGGAUGUCAAAACUUUUGGUGAAAAAGAGUUAGUACAAGCAUUUUUAUUGAGAUUGAAAACAUUUCUUAAGAUGAUCAAUACUAGUUACAAAAUUGGAAUGAAAAAAAAAAGGCAACAUAGACAAAGGUUUGUUUAUUUGAUUGUAAGAUAGAAAAGACUUGUAUUUAGGUUGUGGAAAGGAUUUGAGCAGCAAUUUAUACAACCUUUUCUCAGCAAAACCUUCCUCUUCAAUGAAUCCUUCACAAAACAAAUAGAUCCAAGAAAUUCGACAAAUAAAUUGUUGUCAAUGGUAAGUUUUGAAAUGCUCAAUAGAUUCUUUGUAAUGGAUGGAACAAACAGUACAUCCUUAAGUAAAAUAUGUCUUAUAUUAUCUUUUUUUAAUUCUUUUUAAAAAAAUAAGUGAAUAAUAGUAUGUCAAUCUCAAAUAUCAAUAUGUACAAUUUUUAUUUGUGUAAGAAUUUGCAUCCAAUAAUCAUCAAUACAUAAUUGUCUUUUAAUUGAAUGGUUCUCACCUCCCUUCCAAACUUUGAAAAGGUAAAAUAAGAUCAAUCAUGUCAGUGGCAAUUAAUAUAAAGAUUACUUUUCUUAUUUGUAGUAACGUCCUCUGAUUAUUUAGCUGAUUUUCAAGCUACACAUUUAUUCCAUUUGAUGUUGAUAUUAGUAAAAUUAAUGUAAUAUUUAAAAAGGAAAAAAAUCCGUCGAGCUAAAAGCCGAGUAUAAAAUUGAACCAGACCCAAACCAGAAACGCACGCCAACAACAUGUUUGCGUCAGUCGGCCCAUGCCCAUAAACCCACCAAGCCCGAUCCAAAUAGAAAAAUGAAUUGGACACCCGAGAUAGCAGAAACAGAUAAGUAACGGUCGUGCUAUCCCCAAUCUCAUAUCUUCAACGGUAUCCAGCCAACAUCUCAAAGUGUUCAAUUUUUUUUUAAGCCAAAAAAAAAUUCAAAAUUUUCAAGCGGAAUCUGGGAAGAUAGCGAUGAAAAGCAAGAUUCUGGUUAUCGGCGGAACCGGAUACAUCGGUAAGUACUUAAGGUGCGUUUGAAAUUGAGGUUGAGCAACUAUAACUUUAAAACUGCAGCACUAAAAUAUUUGGUAAACACUAAUUGUUGUAACUUAAAAGCUAUUUAAUAUAAUUUUUCACUUGUAUAAUAAAAAAUUUAUUAUCUUUAAUAAUUUUGUCAAAAUUAUUAUUUAAAAUAUAUACAGUAAGAGAGAUUGUAACAUUUUCAAUCUUUGGUUUGAUAUUCUGGAAGAAAACGAUUUGCCGUUUAUGGAGAAAACUGCUAACCGUUUAAUUUCAGAGAGCAUGUUUUCUAUUCUAGAGAAAACGGCUAACCGUUUGGAGAAAACGGCUAACCGUUUGGAGAAAAUGGCUAACCGUUUGGAGAAAACGGCUAACCGUUUAAUUCCAGAGAGCAUGUUUUCUGUUCUAGAGAAAAUGACUAACCGUUUGGAUAAAACGGCCAACCAUUAAUUACAGAGAGCAACUUAUUUGACAUUCUGGAAUAAAACGGCUCACCGUUAUUGAGAAAACGGCUAACCGUUUAUUUCCAGAGAGCGUGUUUUUGCGUCAACUGGAAAAACGGUUAGCAAGCUUAGAAAUUUCAAUUGUCAAUCGAUGCAAACUCAAACCAAAAGAGUGUUUUUUUGAAGAAGUACUAUUUUUAAUGGUUGUAUUCUUUCAAAUAAACAUCUUCUUUAUUAAAGAUAGACAAACUAUUAUAUCAUAAUUAGAUUUUGCAGGUUUCAUAUAUGUUCUGGAAAUACAAUCUUAUUUUUUAGAGAUUGUAUUCAGGAUUUGAUAUAUCUUAGGGGUAAUUUGCCAUUAAAACUCUAUAGCAAACCAAGAUUGGUGAGGGUAAAUAAAACCUUAAAGAAAAAUGUGCAAACACGUCUCAAAUCCUAAGAAAUUUUCUUUGUUCUUUGCCUCCAUAUUCUUAAAAUUUGAAAAUUCACCCAUCAAUCUUUAAGGUUUUAUUUUGAUGCAAAUAGAGGCUGAGAAGAGUUUGACGUCAUUUCUUAAUCCUAGUGUCCAUCUCGAUCGUUUUGAUGGAACAAAUUUCACUCGUUGGAAGGAAAAAUUGUUCUUUCUUCUUACUGUUCUUAAAGUGGCAUAUGUUCUUAAUCCGAAAUUGGAACCAUUUCCAGAACCAAGGGAAGAUGAUACCGAAGUUGUUAAGGCUGUAAGGAAACGUCGUGAAGAUGAUGAAUUGAUGUGCCGGGGUCACAUACUCAAUACGCGUUCUGACAGGUUAUAUGAUCUCUACAAUUUUAUGACUUCUUCGAUGGAAAUUUGGAAUGCUCUUGAGUACAAAUACAAAACGGAGAAAGAAGGUACUGACAAAUUCCUUGUCUCUAAAUAUUUUGAAUUUAUUAUGGUAGACACACAAUCCAUUCUUGAUCAAAUACAUGAGUUAUAAAUUAUUGUUGCUAAGCUUCGAGAGUUAAAAGUUAAAAUUUCUGAAUCAUUUCAAGUUGGGACUAUUAUUGCUAAAUUGCCUCAAAGUUGGAAUGAUUAUAGAAAGAAACUCCUUCAUAGUAAAGAGAACAUAACUUUAGAAGAAUUGCAAAAACACUUGGUAAUUGAAGAAGAGACUAGGUCUCGCGAAUCCAAGGAUAAACAUGAUUCUACUAAAGUUAAUGUUCUUGAAGCUAGUAAAUUCUCAAAGAAUUUUAAAGUCAAGAAUGACAAGAAAUUUAAGAGGUCCAGCACACAAAAGUUUUCUGGAAAUUGUUUCUUUUGUGGUAAGAAAGGUCAUCGCCAAAGUGAUUGCAGAUUCAAGAAAAAAAAAGAAGAAGUGAAUUCCUAUAAAGCUAAUGUUAUUGAAAACAAAUCUGAAAAGAUUUGUGCUAUGGUUUCUGAAAUACAAAUUGGCAUGAUUAUCGAAACCAAUAUGGCUGAAACUAAGUCCUAUGAUUGGUGGCUCGAUUCGGGUACAACAAUUCAUGUUUGUAAUGAUAAGAAAUUUUUAUUAUCAUACAAAGAAGAAACGGAAGGACAAAUGGUUCUCAUGGGGAACAAUAAUGCAGCCAUAGUAGCAGGGAAAUGAGUAGUUGAGAUCAACUUCACUUCUAGAAAGAAAGUCACAUUGUAUAAUGUCUUUCAUGUACCUUCCGUUAGGAAGAAUCUUAUUUCUGCUAGUUGUAUGUGUAAGCAUGGGCUUAAGAUUGUGCUUGAGGGUAAUACUUGUAUUAUCUCAAAGAAUGAAUUAUUUGUUGGGAAAGGGUAUUCUUGUGAUGGAAUGUACAAACUCAACAUUAAUAAUAAUAAUAUCAACUUAGCUUAUAUUGUUGAGUCUUGUGAUGUUUGGCAUGCUAAAUUAGCACAUUUGAAUUUUAGAUCUUUGAAAUACAUGUCUGAGCAUGGUUUGAUUAAUUGCAAUGAUGUUAAAGGUCAUAAGUGUGAAAUCUGCAUCCAAGCUAAAUUAACUAAGAAACAUUUUCUUAAAGCCGAACGAAAUACUCAAAUAUUGGAUUUAAUAUAUACCGAUAUUUGUGAGUAUAAUGGCGUUUUAACAAGAGGAGGUAAGAAGUACUUUAUCCCUUUUAUUGAUGAUUGUUCUAGAUACACUUAUAUGUAUUUACUUAGAACAAAAAAUGAAGCUUUUGAUAAAUUUAAAAUUUUCAAAGCUGAAGUUGAGAACCAAAAAGAUAAGAAAAUCAAAAUGGUUCGUAGUGAUAGAGGUGGUGAAUAUUUCUCAAUUGAAUUUAAUAAUUAUUGUGAAGAAUUUGGAAUUAUUCACCAAAGAUCAGCUCCAUUUACUCCUCAACAAAGUGGUUUGGCUGAAAGAAAGAAUAGGAUCUUCACGGAUAUGAUAAAUUCCAUGAUCCAUAAUGCAAAACUACCAAAUAAUUUGUGGGGGGAAGCAUUACUCACUGCAUGUCAUAUUCAUAACAGAAUUACAUCUUUGAAAACACAUAUAUCUCUUUAUGAAAUUUGGAAAGGAAGAAAACCAAACUUGAUGUAUUUAAGGGUCUAGGGUUGUUUAGCUUUUUAUAAAAUACAUGAUCCUAAAUCAUCAAAGUUAAGUGCUAGAUGUAUAAAGAGUGUUUUCGUAGGAUAUGCUGAAAAUUCUAAGGCUUAUAGGUUGUUAGAUUUAGAUUAUAAUGUGAUUGUGGAAUCUAGAGAUGUUGAAUUUAUUGAGAAUAAAUUUCAACAUGAUUCUAAUAUUGAAUUAGAAUCAAUUAUUGAUCAACCAUGUGUUAAUACUCCUGUUACCUCCACUAACAAUAAUAAAAGGAAAGAGUCUAUGACAUCUUUCGAACCAAUGAGGAGUCAACGUGAAAAGAAAGAAAAGAGUUUAGCUCCGGAUUUUAUUUCAUCACAAGCACUACUCUUCUUGGUUGAAGGGGAUAGAAAGAAUGUACUUAACAAAGUACCAUUAUUGUUAAAUAUUGAAAAAGAUCCAAAGACAUUUAGCGAAGCUAUGUCUUCUAGAGACGCUUCUUUUUAGAGAGAGGCGGUAAAUGAUGAAAUUGAUUCGAUUAUUUCGAAUCAAACAUGGGUCUUGGUUGAUCUUCCUCCAGGAUCUAAACCAAUUAGCAGCAAAUGGGUAUUUAGAAGAAAGUACAAUAGUGAUGGUUCUUUGCACACUUUUAAGGCUAGAUUAGUAGCCAAAGGGUUUAAGCAAAGAAAUGGUAUUGAUUAUUUCGAUACAUAUGCUUCGGUAGCAAGGUUAACUUCUAUAAGAGUGCUAUUUGCAAUUGCUUCAUUGAACAAUUUGUAUGUGCAUCUAAUGGAUGUUAAAACCGCUUUUCUUAAUGGUGAUCUUGAUGAAGAAAUCUAUAUGGAACAACCUGAGGGAUUUGUUUUACCAGGAAAUGAGAAAAAAGGUAUGCAAAUUAGUCAAAUCACUUUAUGGUUUAAAGCAAGCACCAAAACAAUGGCAUGAGAAGUUUGAUUCGGUAAUUUUAUCUCAUGGUUUUAAGCAUAAUAAUGCUGAUAAAUGUAUAUAUUUUAAAUUUACGAAUGAUUUUGGUGUGAUUAUAUGCUUGUAUGUUGAUGACUUGCUUAUCUUUGGGACAAAUAUGCAAGGAGUAGAUGAUACAAAGAAGUAUUUAACUUCACAAUUUAAGAUAAAAGAUCUUGGUGAAGUAGAUACUAUCUUAGGUGUCAAAGUGAAGAAACAUAGUGAGGGUUACUCGUUGUGUCAAUCUCAUUAUAUAGAGAAAGUGCUUCUUAAAUUCAAUUAUUUGAAAUUUAAAGAAGCUAAUACCCCAUAUGAUUCUAGUAUUAAAUUAUUAGAGAAUUCAGGCCGAGUAGUAGCACAACUAGAAUAUGCUAGUGCUAUUGGUAGCUUGAUGUAUGCUAUGCAUUGUACGAGGCCUGAUAUAGCAUUUGCAGUUUGCAAAAUGUCAAGAUUCACGAGUAACCCUAGUGUUGAACACUGGAAAGCAAUUGGUAGAAUACUUGGUUAUCUUAAAAGGACCAUUCAUUUGGGUUUAUUUUAUAAUGAUUAUCCUGAAGUACUGGAAGGAUAUUCAGAUGCUAGUUGGGUAACCAAUACAAGAGAUAAUAAAUCCACUUCUGGUUGGAUUUUUACAAUUGUUGGAGGAGCAGUUUCCUGGGCUUCAAAGAAACAAACGUACAUAACUCAUUCAACAAUGGAAAGUGAGUUUAUAGCACUCGCAGUUGCAAGCAAGGAAGUAGAAUGACUGAGAAAUUUGUUGUUUGAUAUAAUGUUAUGGCCACAACCGAUGCCAUAUAUUUCUUUGUACUGCGAUAGUGAAGCUACAUUGUCUAGAGCUUAUAAUAAAGUGUAUAAUGGAAAGUCUAGACAUAUUAGCUUGAGACAUGAAUAUGUGAAACAAUUAAUAGCAGAUGGUGUUAUUAAUAUUGUUUAUGUUAGGACUAAUAAGAACCUAGCGGAUCCUUUAAUAAAAGGUCUUACAAGAGACUUAGUUAAGGAUACAUCUUUUGGAAUGGGAUUGAAACCUUUAAAUAAUAAAGUCACCAACGACGAUAACCCAACUAUGUAGUAGUUGUACCGCUACUCCAUAGUUAAAUGGAUAAUAACAAGUUGUUGUUAUGUGACUGGUUUGGCACCGAGUAAUAAAUAAUCACAUUCGAGAUAUUCGGUGCAAAUAGCUACGAGGUUGAGGUUGAGUAUUUAUUCUUAAUGAAGUUCAAGUCUUAUAGUAGCUAAAGACAUGAUUUGAAACUUCACCUAAGUGAACAUAAGAAAUGGUGCCGUUUCUAACAAGAUCAUGGUUUAAUCUAGUAAAUGUUCAUGAAUUCAAGAUAGAGCACAAGGCCGGAAUAGUGCUAAAUAUUGGAACACAACUUUGAAAAUCUGGGAUAGCUUAUAUGUGAUGUAUCUCCGGUAUUUACUUAAGAGACAAAGUUUAAUGCUUAGCACAUUAUUGUCUUGUAAAUGCUUUGAAAUACACUCACUAAUUAAAGGUUAAAAUCGAAAGAUAUCUUUUUGUAUGUAUAAGUUUAUCAUUAAUAAAUAUGAAAAAUAUUACAAUCUAGUGGGGGAUUGUAAGAGAGAUUGUAACAUUUUCAAUCUUUCGUUUGAUAUUCUGGAAGAAAACGGUUUGCCGUUUAUGGAGAAAACGGCUAACUGUUUAAUUCCAAAUAGCAUGUUUUCUGUUCUAGAGAAAACGACUAACUAUUUGGAGAAAAUGGCUAACUGUUUAAUUCUAGAGAGCAUGUUUUCUGUUCUAGAGAAAGCGGCUAACCGUUUGGAUAAAACGACCAACCGUUAAUUACAGAGAGCAACUUAUUUGACAUUCUGGAAUAAAACGGCUCACCGUUAUUGAGAAAACGGCUAACCGUUUAUUUCCAGAAAGCGUGUUUUUGCGUCAAUUGGAAAAACGGUUAGCAAGCUUGGAAAUUUCAAUUGUCAAUCGAUGCAAACUCAAACCAAAAGAGUGUUUUUUUGAAGAAGUACAAUUUCUAAUGGUUGUAUUCUUUCAAAUAAACAUCUUCUUUAUUAAAGAUAGACAAACAAUUAGAUCAUAAUCAGAUUUUGCAGGUUUCAUAUAUGUUCUGGAAAUACAAUAGAUCAUAAUCAGAUUUUGCAGGUUUCAUAUAUGUUCUGGAAAUACAAUCUUAUUUGCUAGAGAUUGUAUUCAUGAUUUGAUAUAUCUUGGGGGUAAUUUACCAUUAAAACUCUAUAGCAAACCAAGAUUGGUGAGGACAAAUAAAACCUUAAAGGAAAGUGUGCAAACACGUCUCAAAUCCUAAGAAUUGUUUUUUGUUCUUUGCCUCCAUAUUCUUAAAAUUCGAAAAUUCACCCAUCAUAUACAUACUACAUAUUAUUAACUUUUGUUUUAUAACUAUAGUGUUUUUUUUUUACCGCAACUGUAGUUUAAAAACUACAGCACCUCAAUCCCAAACAAGACCUUAGUGGAAGCGAGCGCAAAAGCCGAUCACCCAACAUUCGCGCUUGUGAGAGACUCCACUCUCUCCACUCAUUCCAAAUCCAAAAUCCUCGACCGUUUCAAAAAUCUCGGCGUCAAUUUAGUUCUUGUGCGCCACUCUUUUAGCUUUCCAAUUUUCCCGCCAAUUUUCUUUUAUUGUGAUUAAUUAAUUAAUUAAUUAAUUAAAGUAAAGAUUUUAUAUUAUAAUUUUGUUUGCAGGGAGAUCUAUACAGCCAUGAGAGCUUGGUGAGUGCAAUAAAGCAAGUGGAUGUUAAGGUAAUGAUUAACUUAAGUAAAUGCGUUAACUAAUUACUUGGGAUUUUAAAUUCAAAUGCGUGAAUUGUUCUAAAAAAUGAUUUAUGUUUAUUAGUCAGAGAUUCUUUCCUUCAGAAUUUGGAAAUGAUGUUGAUCGCGUGCAUGCCGUUGAGCCAGCAAGAACAUCAUUUGCCACCAAGGCUAAAAUCCGCCGAGCUGUUGAGGCUGAAGGAAUUCCAUACACCUACGUAGCUUCCAAUUUCUUCGCUGGUUUGUAUCUUUCCAGUUUCUCACAGCCUGAAGCCACAGCUCCUCCAAGGGAUAAAGUGGUCAUCGUAGGUGAUCGAAAUGCAAAAGGCAAAGCGCUUCUGGAUACAUUUACUCUGUACACGCAAUGUGUGGUUACUGUUUGGGGAUAAAAAAGGAGAUUAAUUAAUAAAGAAAAUGAAAUUAUUGAGGGAUUUGCUGAAGAGUUGCGUGCACUCCUCAUUUUUCUCCACCACUCAUCUUACUUGCAAAAUGCAAUGACCAAACUAUCCUCGCCAAAGCCUAGACAUUUACUUGUGUUCAAAGGCCAUUUAAGAGAGACAAGUACAAAAAAUUAUAAAGGAUAGUGAGCAAAAGAAGAAAAUGGAAGGAGGGGAGAAUAAAAAAUGGGAGUGGGGCGUUAUCUAGGGAGGAUUUUUAUUUUUAUUUUUUUUCCUCUCUUCUCCAUGGCAUCUCUUUCUCUCUUUCUCCCACUAAGAAAUUCUUUCUUUUACACUCUAUUUUACUUUUAUUCAAAUUACACAAAAAACUUUUGGUUUUAAGGCAAUGUUUAUUAAGCCACGUGAAUUUGAAAAAGCAGGAAUAAGGGGAUGAUUUUAACACAUUAAUUCACCAACAUUAAUUGGAAAAGAUCAGUUGCCACUUCGAAUCAGAGUAAUUUCUUCGGCAAUAGCCAAAUAUUGAUAUUUGAUCUUGACACUGUAGUUAAAUCAAUGUAACUGGUUUUGUCAUUUGAUCCCCAGUAAUUUUUAACAAGGAAGACGAUAUUGGAAUUAAUUCUAUCAAAGCGGUGGAUGAUCCGAGAACACUGAACAAAAUACUUUACAUCAGACCCCGUUGCAAUAUCUACUCAUUUAAUGAUCUUGUGUCUCUGUGGGAGGAAAAGAUUGGCAAAGCCCUUGACAGGGUCUAUGUUACAGAGGAACAACUUCUGAAAAACAUUCAAGGUUAGUUAGAACUAUCACUUUAUCAAGUGCAUAGAUGUAACUGACCGAUAAUGGAAUUUUUUUUCCUUCUCCAAAAUGCGAUAGAAUCUAAUCGGUUUCAACAAUCUCAAGAACACCUAUUCAUGGUUGUGUUGUUUGAAAUCUGUAUGUAUCAGUUUUCUUUCUAGAUCUCAGAUUGCUCGCAAGGAUGUCAAGUUUUGAUGAUGCUUGCCUGUUUUCCUGUGUUUACAGAAGCUUCAUAUCCACUCAAUAUGAUAUUACCUAUUGGGCACUCUGCCUAUGUCCUGGGAGAUCAGACCAACUUCGAAAUUGAACCUUCAUUUGGAGUAGAGGCAACAGAGCUUUAUCCAGAUGUCAACUACACUACUGUGGAUGAGUACCUCAACCAGUUCAUAUAAACCUUCUGAGAUGAGCAGCAGGAUCCUAACAAAAAAUUGGGUGGUUUCCAUCCCUGAUUCUAUGGUAUAAAGAUAGCGGCUUUCCCUGCUUUUGCCAGUUCAAUGAAGUUUGUUAGAUGAUGUUAUUUAUACUAUACUAGCAAAGAUCAAGUUGCCUUUCUUGUCAAGAAGCCAAGCUCUGGCAUUGGUUUAUGCUAGUUUUUCAUGUUUAUUACUUUUUUUGCAUUCAAAAUGAUAAAACUGCAGAGGUUGUUGCAUGCACGUCAUUUGUUAGUAGGGGUAUCAAUUUAUGAACGUAUGAAGUAUCUCUUCUGCAACGGCAUCCUCCUUAACUGUCAGUAGGAUCACAAUAAGUCGACCAACCAUCUACCGUAUGGAUUAUCUAUAAAUUGAAAUUGGUGUGUAUUAUGGAUCUGUCACUCUGCUGUUUCUGUUUUCUUUUCUAUUUUUACCAAGAAAGAAACAUUGUUAAAACUGAAUGGUUGUUAUCUCGUCUUGUUGUAAUGUUGUGUAUGCUUUCUAGAAAAUAAUGAAGUGCCAAAUAUGAAAAUACUAGUGGCUACCUUACCAUCCUUAAUAAGUUGUCUGAUUGUCACCGUCAACAAUCACUCUCAGCAACUCAUAAUCCAUUUAAGCAUAUUAUAAAAUAAUCAAUUUUGUAUUUGCACCAACUUUUAGUUUUAAAUGACAAUUUCGUUGAUCCCCACACUUCUGUACUAAUCAAAUCCACUGAAACUGGACUUUUUUUUCUUUUUUUUUAUAAUUACAUCGAUUGCAUUGGCUAUUGCAGGGAAAAGACUGCCUCUACAGGGAACUAAACUUUCAGAAUUGUUCUUAUGAGGGUUUGAAUAUGCUCUCGUACUAGGUCAAUGGCCUAUUGGUUCGAGACCAUUCACAAAGAAAGAAAUGAGUUUUGCUUGUAUAAAUGAAAGAAAUCCAAAUGAUAACUAAUGUAUAGUGGUACAUGAGAAAAAUAAUUUCAGCCCGUGUAAAGUCAAAAAGAGAAAAUAUUAAAAGAAAGGAUAAUGUCAUUGAGUUCGGUGAAGUGAAAGAAAAUGAAAAACAUGGGAUUUAGUCAAACUUAGUGUCCCAAUCAGCAGAAAAAGGUUUUAGAAACUCACCUCAAGUUAAGCCAACUAUUAGGAGCUUUAUUUAAUCAUGACUUUCUAAUGUAUAGUACUCCAAUACUAAACGAGGGCUACCUCUACGCUUGCAAUUGUAAAUGAAAUUGAGUUCGUGACGCACAAUGAAGUGAGCAAAAUGAGUUGAGAUCUGAGAAUAUAUUAAAGAAAAUAUGAAUCAAUGAAUUUUGGUUAAAAAAAACAAAUGCUGGUUCUUCAAGACCUGCGUGUAUUGUGUAAGUUUUGUUAGGAGAAGGAAAGCAUUUUGGUCUAAAACGCACUAAAUCGGAUUCAUUUGCUUGAUAUCUAAUAAGGGUGAAUUAACCACUCGCCCACAGCAAUUCAAGUCCCAAAAAAAUUAUUGUGGGGGCUAAAUUUCUUCUUUAAUUAUAACAAAUAAUUGAGUGGAGGAUAAAAAUUUAGGCCAUGUAUAACAAUAACUAAUAUAAACUAGUCCUAAUAAUAGUAUAAUUGUAAAUAUCAGUUGUAGUCUCAUACAAUAUAAGUUUAUAGAUUAUAAUAUCGGCAUAAAAAGAAAAAUGAUAUCUGACGGUCAAUCAAUAAAAGGACAAAAACUUGGAGUAACAUACCACAAAGUCAAUGUAGCUGGACAGAUGAAUAUAAUAUGUAAACAAAUUUAAAUGGGAUAAUACCAUACGGUACAUACAUAACAUUUUAAAACUGAAUUAAAAAAAUAAAAUUAAAACUGAAUUGGAAUUCGUAUGUGUAUCCAGCUACCUUGCAACAGUUGUAAGGUACCCUAACUUUGCAACAAUUUCAUCCUUCGUGCAUUCGGUCACAAAGUCCAAAUUAGGCACGUUUAAGAAUCGAACUGAAAAACUAAAAAAAAAGAAUCCGGCGAUAUUUGCGAACCGGAAACGAGCCAGCGUUAUGCUUAUGUCAUUUCAGAGAUAUCAACAGUCGUGCUUUCAGUCCUUAAACCUCAAGGGCAUUUUCGUCCUUUCACUCAAGCGUGAAACUGCAUGUAAGAACUGCUUCGCUUACACGCUCCAUGCACAUUUAAAGGCACCACUGUCGGAUAAAAAAUAUCCAUCCAUUUGAUCAUUUCAAAACAAAACGAAAAAAAAAAUCUCAGUAAUUGAACUGAACGAGUCUCAGAAAUGGCAUCGAAAAGUAAGAUUCUAUUCAUCGGCGGGACAGGGUAUAUCGGUAAAUUCACUGUCGAAGCGAGCGUAAAAGCCGGCCACCCGACGUUCGUGCUCGUGAGAGAAUCCACAAUCUCUGGUCCUUCCAAAUCUCAACUCCUCGAUCACUUCAAAAACCUCGGCGUCAAUCUUGUCAUAGUGCGUUUUCAUUUUUCUCUUUUCUUUAUUUUUUAUUCCGAUCAUUUUUACACGUCGAAGUGUAGCAUCUACUACUUAAUAUACAUAAUGAUAUUAUUAUUUUUUAAUUUUUUUGGGUUGCUGUUAUUAUUAUACAGGGAGAUGUGUUGAAUCACGAGAGUUUGGUGAAGGCGAUAAAACAAGUGGACGCGGUGAUAUCAACAGUUGGUCACACUUUAAUAGCCGAUCAGGUCAAGAUUAUUGCUGCCAUUAAAGAAGCCGGUAACGUUAAGGUAUGACAUAAUUAAUGUAAAUGUCUUAGAUUUCGAUCAGGAUUGUGCACUCGUGCACACGUGGUGAUUUAUUCUUCGUGUGGAGCUCGCUGUAGAGUAGAGCUCCCAGUUCCGCUAAUAAACACCCGUCAGAUGCGCAAUUGCGCCUCAAAAUAAUUUAAUUAAUUAAUUAGGUAUAAACACCGAUGGCAUGAAAGCAAUUAAAAUUAGUUGAUGUUUAUAAAUUAUUUAUUACUCAGAGAUUCUUACCAUCGGAAUUUGGAAAUGAUGUUGAUCGAGUCGAAGGCGCCGUAGAGCCAACAAAAUCGACGUAUGACGUAAAGGCGAAAAUCCGCCGAGCCGUUGAGGCAGAAGGCAUUCCGUACACUUACGUAGAAUCUUAUUGUUUUGAUGGGUAUUUCCUCCCCAAUUUGUUGCAGCCUGAGGCCACUGCCCCCCCUAGGGAUAAGGUUGUCAUCUUAGGCGAUGGAAAUCCAAAAGGUAAUAUAAUUUAAUUAAGCUCUGUUUGUUUGGUAUGUAUUGCGGUGUUAAUGUUAUUGUCUGUUGUACAAUGGAUGGUCUUGCUUGGUACUGUUGUUGGAGAGCUGCAGUGUUUUGAUAAACACCUCUAUAGUCUAUCCUUAUCCUUAGCUUUCAAGUUAAGUUGAUUUUAUACAACACUUGUUUAAUUAAAAACUUGUAAUAUUCUUACUACUUUGAUAAAAAAAAUAUUACGAUUAAAGUAUUAAUGGCACCAUAAUACGAAAUGAAUCUUAAGUGGUCAUUAUAGAUUUUAAGAUAGAGUUUUAAGUGAUUACCAGAUACUUUAGCUGCUGAACCGCCACAUCAUGGUUGCCACACAACAAUUUCAAACAGAACCUAAAUAACUUCAUUGCAAAACAGUUAAAUGAAUCUAACUUAGUUUCGUCGUUUGAUUUUCAGCUGUUUUUAACAAGGAAGAUGAUAUUGGAACCUACACUAUCAAAGCGGUUGAUGAUCCGAGAACCUUGAACAAAAACUUUUACAUUCAGCCUCCCGGUAAUAUUUACUCAUUCAAUGAUCUUGUGUCUCUGUGGGAGAGAAAGAUUGGUAAAACCCUCGAAAAGGAGUAUGUUUCAGAGGAGCAGCUCCUAAAGAAUAUUCAAG
Molecule: long non-coding RNA, 20997 nt
Filed under: Citrus maxima (pomelo)
Lineage: Eukaryota; Viridiplantae; Streptophyta; Magnoliopsida; Sapindales; Rutaceae
Description: long non-coding RNA (CMAX_LNC003344)
Source: RNAcentral